GAUGAACGCUAGCGGCAGGCCUAAUACAUGCAAGUCGGACGGGAUUGGAGAGCUUGCUUUCCAUGAGAGUGGCGCACGGGUGCGUAACACGUAUGUAACCUACCUUGUUCAGGGGGAUAGCCUCUCGAAAGAGAGAUUAAGACCGCAUAACAUCACGCUAUAGCAUUAUAAUGUGAUCAAAUAUUUAUAGGAACAAGAUGGGCAUGCGGAACAUUAGCUAGUUGGUAAGGUAAUGGCUUACCAAGGCUACGAUGUUUAGGGGAUCUGAGAGG
Molecule: ribosomal RNA, 272 nt
Filed under: uncultured bacterium
Lineage: Bacteria
Description: partial 16S ribosomal RNA
Rfam family: Bacterial small subunit ribosomal RNA
Source: RNAcentral